UACGUAGGGGGCGAGCGUUGUCCGGAUUUAUUGGGCGUAAAGAGCUCGUAGGCGGUUCGCUAAGUCGGGUGUGAAACCUCCAGGCUCAACCUGGAGACGCCACCUGAUACUGGUGUGACUAGAGUCCGGUAGGGGAGUGUGGAACUCCUGGUGUAGCGGUGAAAUGCGCAGAUAUCAGGAAGAACACCAGCGGCGAAGGCGGCACUCUGGGCCGGUACUGACGCUGAGGAGCGAAAGCGUGGGUAGCAAACAGG
This 254-nucleotide ribosomal RNA is filed under the name uncultured bacterium. Its description in RNAcentral is "partial 16S ribosomal RNA". It matches the Rfam family "Bacterial small subunit ribosomal RNA", at positions 524 to 776 of the family's 1533-position model. The record is from RNAcentral.